GAUCCUGAGUGCCUGGUCUGGAGGACGUGUUCAGCACAGAUUUGUGGAAGUGUGUGACUGUUGAAAAUGUUCCUGGCAGCUCUCUCAGCGUCAGAACUCUGCAUUCCGUCCUACACAAACGUGGAUCUGAUCACACUGCUUUCCAGGCAAGGAGCCUCAGCUGCAGAUAGCAAGGAUGAAGAAGUCAAGGUCGCCCCCAGGCGGUCCUUCCUGGUGCUUUGAAUAUGUUAUUCCACUGCCCUCUGGACUCCAUUGUUUCUGAUGAGAAGUCAGCUGUUAAUCUUAUUGGGGUUUCCUUACUUCGACCCCCACCACUUCUGGCAGUGGAGCAGCUUCUCGGACUACGUGCAGUGCGUCCUGGCCUUCACAGGCGUGGCGGGCUACGUCACCUACCUGUCCAUUGACUCCGCCCUGUUUGUGGAGACCCUGGGCUUCCUGGCCGUGCUGACCGAAGCCAUGCUGGGCGUGCCGCAGCUUUACCGCAACCACCGCCACCAGUCCACGGAGGGCAUGAGCAUCAAGAUGGUGCUCAUGUGGACGAGCGGUGACGCCUUCAAG
This 558-nucleotide small RNA is filed under the name Pongo abelii (Sumatran orangutan). RNAcentral's name for it is "processed transcript". Lineage: Eukaryota; Metazoa; Chordata; Mammalia; Primates; Hominidae. The record is from RNAcentral.